GAUGAACGCUGGCGGCGUGCCUAAUACAUGCAAGUCGAGCGAACAGAUAAGGAGCUUGCUCCUUUGACGUUAGCGGCGGACGGGUGAGUAACACGUGGGUAACCUACCUAUAAGACUGGGAUAACUUCGGGAAACCGGGGCUAAUACCGGAUAACAUUUGGAACCGCAUGGUUCUAAAGUGAAAGAUGGUUUUGCUAUCACUUAUAGAUGGACCCGCGCCGUAUUAGCUAGUUGGUAAGGUAACGGCUUACCAAGGCGACGAUACGUAGCCGACCUGAGAGGGUGAUCGGCCACACUGGAACGGAGACACGGUCCAGACUCCUACGGGAGGCAGCAGUAGGGAAUCUUCCGCAAUGGGCGAAAGCCUGACGGAGCAACGCCGCGUGAGUGAUGAAGGGUUUCGGCUCGUAAAACUCUGUUAUUAGGGAAGAACAAAUGUGUAAGUAACUGUGCACGUCUUGACGGUACCUAAUCAGAAAGCCACGGCUAACUACGUG
Molecule: ribosomal RNA, 497 nt
Filed under: uncultured bacterium
Lineage: Bacteria
Description: partial 16S ribosomal RNA
Rfam family: Bacterial small subunit ribosomal RNA
Source: RNAcentral